AACGCACCUUGCGCCCAGGGGUAUUCCUCUGGGCAUGCCUGUCUGAGUGUCGCGCACCUCUCACCCUAUGCUCUAUAGGCGUGGACCGUGGCGGAGGCUGUCAGCCCUGCCGAAAUGUUUCGGGACUAGCGACCGACGUUGUAGACCCCUCGUCGGCCGUUCCCCACUUAUAACUUUUCGACCUCAGAUCAAGCAGGACUACCCGCUGAACUUAA
Molecule: unclassified non-coding RNA, 215 nt
Filed under: uncultured Xanthoporus
Lineage: Eukaryota; Fungi; Basidiomycota; Agaricomycetes; Polyporales; Steccherinaceae
Description: partial contains 5.8S ribosomal RNA, internal transcribed spacer 2, and large subunit ribosomal RNA
Rfam family: 5.8S ribosomal RNA (bases 1-52)
Source: RNAcentral